GACAGCGGUGAUAGCAUGUUAAACGCAUCCAGUUCCCAAUCGAUCACUGAAGUGAAGCAACGUUGCGAAUGGUUCGCAUCCGGAUGAGUGACCAUCUGGACAGUCACGUGCUACUGGCC
Molecule: ribosomal RNA, 119 nt
Filed under: Diaphorina citri (Asian citrus psyllid)
Lineage: Eukaryota; Metazoa; Arthropoda; Insecta; Hemiptera; Psyllidae
Source: RNAcentral